Ophiophagus hannah (king cobra) is the source of this 44-nucleotide non-coding RNA. NCBI's taxonomy places the organism in Eukaryota, Metazoa, Chordata, Lepidosauria, Squamata, Elapidae. The record is from Rfam.
CAAAAGGCUUUUCUAAAGCCAUUCACUUUUAUUGGCACUUUAAA